RNAcentral lists this ribosomal RNA (535 nucleotides) under Salmonella enterica. RNAcentral describes it as "partial 23S ribosomal RNA". It matches the Rfam family "Bacterial large subunit ribosomal RNA", at positions 671 to 1204 of the family's 2925-position model. The record is from RNAcentral. Lineage: Bacteria; Pseudomonadati; Pseudomonadota; Gammaproteobacteria; Enterobacterales; Enterobacteriaceae.
GGGAAACCGAGUCUUAAUUGGGCGUUAAGUUGCAGGGUAUAGACCCGAAACCCGGUGAUCUAGCCAUGGGCAGGUUGAAGGUUGGGUAACACUAACUGGAGGACCGAACCGACUAAUGUUGAAAAAUUAGCGGAUGACCUGUGGCUGGGGGUGAAAGGCCAAUCAAACCGGGAGAUAGCUGGUUCUCCCCGAAAGCUAUUUAGGUAGCGCCUCGUGAAUUCAUCUCCGGGGGUAGAGCACUGUUUCGGCUAGGGGGCCAUCCCGGCUUACCAACCCGAUGCAAACUGCGAAUACCGGAGAAUGUUAUCACGGGAGACACACGGCGGGUGCUAACGUCCGUCGUGAAGAGGGAAACAACCCAGACCGCCAGCUAAGGUCCCAAAGUCAUGGUUAAGUGGGAAACGAUGUGGGAAGGCCCAGACAGCCAGGAUGUUGGCUUAGAAGCAGCCAUCAUUUAAAGAAAGCGUAAUAGCUCACUGGUCGAGUCGGCCUGCGCGGAAGAUGUAACGGGGCUAAACCAUGCACCGAAGCUGCG